RNAcentral lists this ribosomal RNA (1550 nucleotides) under Pectobacterium brasiliense. Its description in RNAcentral is "bacterial SSU rRNA". It matches the Rfam family "Bacterial small subunit ribosomal RNA". The record is from RNAcentral. Lineage: Bacteria; Pseudomonadati; Pseudomonadota; Gammaproteobacteria; Enterobacterales; Pectobacteriaceae.
AAAUUGAAGAGUUUGAUCAUGGCUCAGAUUGAACGCUGGCGGCAGGCCUAACACAUGCAAGUCGGGCGGUAGCACAGAAGAGCUUGCUCUUUGGGUGACGAGCGGCGGACGGGUGAGUAAUGUCUGGGAAACUGCCUGAUGGAGGGGGAUAACUACUGGAAACGGUAGCUAAUACCGCAUAACCUCGCAAGAGCAAAGAGGGGGACCUUCGGGCCUCUCGCCAUCAGAUGUGCCCAGAUGGGAUUAGCUAGUAGGUGAGGUAAUGGCUCACCUAGGCGACGAUCCCUAGCUGGUCUGAGAGGAUGACCAGCCACACUGGAACUGAGACACGGUCCAGACUCCUACGGGAGGCAGCAGUGGGGAAUAUUGCACAAUGGGCGCAAGCCUGAUGCAGCCAUGCCGCGUGUGUGAAGAAGGCCUUCGGGUUGUAAAGCACUUUCAGCGGGGAGGAAGGCGGUAAGGUUAAUAACCUUAUCGAUUGACGUUACCCGCAGAAGAAGCACCGGCUAACUCCGUGCCAGCAGCCGCGGUAAUACGGAGGGUGCAAGCGUUAAUCGGAAUGACUGGGCGUAAAGCGCACGCAGGCGGUCUGUUAAGUUGGAUGUGAAAUCCCCGGGCUUAACCUGGGAACUGCAUUCAAAACUGACAGGCUAGAGUCUUGUAGAGGGGGGUAGAAUUCCAGGUGUAGCGGUGAAAUGCGUAGAGAUCUGGAGGAAUACCGGUGGCGAAGGCGGCCCCCUGGACAAAGACUGACGCUCAGGUGCGAAAGCGUGGGGAGCAAACAGGAUUAGAUACCCUGGUAGUCCACGCUGUAAACGAUGUCGAUUUGGAGGUUGUGCCCUUGAGGCGUGGCUUCCGGAGCUAACGCGUUAAAUCGACCGCCUGGGGAGUACGGCCGCAAGGUUAAAACUCAAAUGAAUUGACGGGGGCCCGCACAAGCGGUGGAGCAUGUGGUUUAAUUCGAUGCAACGCGAAGAACCUUACCUACUCUUGACAUCCAGAGAAUUUGCUAGAGAUAGCUUAGUGCCUUCGGGAACUCUGAGACAGGUGCUGCAUGGCUGUCGUCAGCUCGUGUUGUGAAAUGUUGGGUUAAGUCCCGCAACGAGCGCAACCCUUAUCCUUUGUUGCCAGCGAUUCGGUCGGGAACUCAAAGGAGACUGCCGGUGAUAAACCGGAGGAAGGUGGGGAUGACGUCAAGUCAUCAUGGCCCUUACGAGUAGGGCUACACACGUGCUACAAUGGCGUAUACAAAGAGAAGCGACCUCGCGAGAGCAAGCGGACCUCAUAAAGUACGUCGUAGUCCGGAUUGGAGUCUGCAACUCGACUCCAUGAAGUCGGAAUCGCUAGUAAUCGUAGAUCAGAAUGCUACGGUGAAUACGUUCCCGGGCCUUGUACACACCGCCCGUCACACCAUGGGAGUGGGUUGCAAAAGAAGUAGGUAGCUUAACCUUCGGGAGGGCGCUUACCACUUUGUGAUUCAUGACUGGGGUGAAGUCGUAACAAGGUAACCGUAGGGGAACCUGCGGUUGGAUCACCUCCUUACCAAGAAG